Molecule: long non-coding RNA, 2770 nt
Filed under: Mus musculus (house mouse)
Lineage: Eukaryota; Metazoa; Chordata; Mammalia; Rodentia; Muridae
Description: RIKEN cDNA 4122401K19 gene
Source: RNAcentral
ACACCUCCAGGAUUCAGGCCUGGAUGAGGUAAUAGCAGGCCAGAAGAAGAAGGCGUGGGGCUGAGCGUGCGUGUGUUCGUCAGUGUGUGUAUGUCAGUGCGAGCAAAAGCCCUGGUGAGACUCAAGUGUAGGAGCUCUGGCCGCGGAUACAGCCAGCGCUGAGCUGAAAACAGACAGGAAGUUAGUGGCUGCAAACCUCAGUCCCCGCGUUGGCCCCUGGGACCGGGAUGGCAAGCGAGCUUUUGGACACCCGGGGACCCGGGAAGUAUCCGCGGGCGUGAGCUCACCUUGGCGUUCUUCCGGGGAGGGGAGACACCUGGAAGCCUCUGAGCGGAGCCCCAGGGAGGGAGCUGUGCCACCGCCGUUGCCUGGCUCCCAGCGGAGAGAGGACGGAGGGCGUGACCAUGCAACUCCAGCGAGGCUCAACUGGUGCGAGGCGGGUGCUGCGUCGCGCUUGGGCCGUGCGCCCUGGGUGGCUUUGCAAGGCGGGCGGCGAAUGUGCAGGGUCAGGUUUUUUGCAUGAAGCCGCUGGACCCCUCGGAGCAGCGGCAGCGACAGGGGCGGUGGAGCACAGUUGGAGGCGGGCAGCUACGGGUCCGCGUCCCGGUGCCUAAGCGACUGCAGACUCCCCCAUGAACCACAGCUGAGGCUUCCCGGGAGGCGGUGGCGCCCGAGGCCGGGUGUGCAAGGACGGGGAAGGGAGCAUCUCAGGGCACUUCAUGCUCCAGACCUCAGCCUUGGACCCUAGUGGUGUAGGAAUGGCUGACCGAUCAUGGCGGCUGGUGUCCCUACAGCCCUGCUGUGAAACACCACUUCAAGGCGGUGCUGCGCUGGUCCACGCGCGGGGCCAGCGUGGUGUUGGGCUAGGUGGAGAGACAGAUUGCCCCCUACAUCAUCGACCUGCAGUCCAUGAACCAGUUCCGCCAAGACACGGGUGAGCCAUCCAAAUCCCUGGUCUGUCCACUGACUCACCCAGUGACUAGCUUUGCUUACUGAUGUCCUCACGUGAUAGGUGUUGAGGGCAGGUGUUUCCCUUCCUUAGAUCCUCACAGGAUUCCAAGACCACCUUCAAGUAUUUGUCCUGGCAAGUAGUUUAAAUUGUCUUGAUUAUACAAACCCAGCUUCGGCCUAGCUGCAGGAGACCCCUUUAUGCCCCCAUCGCCACCCCCAGCCCCUACUGGCCCUUAGUGCAGGAAUUCUAGGACUUUGCAGUUCCCAAGGAAUGCGGGGUCUUCAGCAAGAUACUGCUGGAGCCCUUUUACUGCUCACACCUCAGCUGACUUUGCUUUGCCUCAAGCACCUUUGGGGCUGCCGUACACCUCCCCCUCCCUUCAACCUGGCUGAAUCUGGCCCUCUUCUAUGGACCCCCCCUUCCCACUGACAACUCCUGGAUGUAAGAUUUGGGAAGCCGUAGGGUUCCUCAGUGUCUAGUUACAGUCUAGUGUGUGAAAAGUGCUGGAAAAUUACUGGGAAGAGAGAUUGGAGCCAGGGAUUCCAGAGCUGGAGCAUCUGGAUGUGGUGGAGAGAAGAACCGGAGGACUGGGCUCCGGAAUGCCUGGCAGAGAGGCUCCUCCCUUUGUCCACAGAGGACAGGACAGAGUGAACAUUCUGCAACAUUCUCCAACAGCCUGCAGAGUGGAGAAUGUCUUUGCCAGCUAUGCCUCAGACAGGGGCUGGGCGUCUAGAAUAUAUAAAGAACUGCAGUAAUUAAACUUCAAAAUAGCUAGUCAAUAAAUCAGCCAAUGAAUGGAAGAUACCGUUCGCAAAAGUAGGACCACAUAUGGACACCAGAGAUUAAAAAGGCGUUCAGCAUUCUUAGUUACCAGCUGAGUGAAAAUUGAAGCUACGUUUUGGAUUCCAUCUUCCCCUAGUGACAAUUACUAAGAUAAAGAAAAGAGACAGCAGUGCUGUUGAGGUAAUGUAACCUAGUACAGCCAUUAUAUAAAUUAGUAUACAUUUCUAAAAAUUAAAAAAACAGAACUUCCCUAUGAUCCAGAUAUACUUCUGAGUGUGUGAGUGUGUGUAUGUGUGUGUGUGUGAGUGUGUGUGUGUGUGUGUGUGUGUAUUCUACCACAGAGAUACCUGCACAUCCACAUUUAUUGGUUUUCUAUUCAAAAUAGCAAAGAAAUGGAACCAGCCCAAAUGGAGCCAACAGAUGAAUGGAUAAGGAAAACGUGGCACAUAUAUAAAUGGUAUUUAUUCAGCUGUAAAGAAAAAUGAAAUCACAUAACUUACAGAAAAAUGAAUGAAUAUGGGAAUUAGAAAAAAAAACCCUCCAGAUUUAGACAGACAGCACAUCUCUCACAUGUGGAGCCUAGCCUAUAAAGUCUGUCUGUCUGUCUGUCUGUCUGUCUGUCUGUCGUAUGUAAGUUGGGGUGAAUUCCUUGACUGUAGGCUCUGGAAUCAGAAAAGAGUGCACAAAGAGGGAAAGAAAGUGUUGCAGAAGUAGAGGAAGGGCACAGGGAGGUGAAUGUGGAGAUGGAGGAUGUGUGUAAGGUACAGUGGGGAGGGGGUGAGGGUAUGGGGGGUGAGAAAGGUGAGGUGAUUCAACAAAAUAAAUUUUGUCUGAAACUGGCACAAUAAAACCUAAUUCUGUGUGUUAAUUAUUAAUGAAAAAUAAACUAUUUACAAAAUAAAACUAUGAAGACUGAGAAGUAUGUACAAAGAUGCCUCUUAUGUUGUUCUUUUAAAAUAACAGUAAGAUUUUGGGGUGUCCUAAAUUUCCAAAACAGAAAAAUAGUUAAAUAAAUCACAAAUUUCUGUGUCAUAA